AUAAGAGCAUAAGGUGAAUGCCUUGGCAUCAAGAACCGAUGAAGGACGUAAAAAGCUGCGAUAAGCUUCGGGGAGGCGCACAUAGCCAACGAUCCGGAGAUUUCCGAAUGGGGAAACCUAGCUGAGAAAAGCUCAGUUGGCGUACAGUGAAUCAAUAGCUGUGCGUAGGGAACGCUCUGAACUGAAACAUCUAAGUAGGAGCAGGAAGAGAAAGAAACAUCGAUUUCCUAAGUAGUGGCGAACGAACGGGAAACAGGCCAAACCGAGAUACAUGUAUUUCGGGGUUGUGGACUACAUCAUGUGAUGGAGGUAAGGUAGUAGAAUUGUUUUGGGAAAGCAAGCCAAAGAAAGUGAAAGCCUUGUAUACGAAACCUGAAGACCCACAGUAGUAUCCAGAGUACAUCGGGACACGUGAAACCCUGAUGGAAGCCGGAGGGACCACCCUCCAAGCCUAAAUAUUCCUUGAUGACCGAUAGCGAAGAAGUACUGUGAAGGAAAGGUGAAAAGAACCCCGGGAGGGGAGUGAAAGAGAACCUGAAACCUUAUGUUUACAAACAGUCGAAGUUUUUCGGAACGACGGCGUACUUUUUGUAGAACGGUCCGGCGAGUUGCAGUGACAUGCGAGGUUAAGGAGUACAGCUCCGGAGCCGAAGGGAAACCAAGUCUUAACUGGGCGUCUAGUAUGUUAAUGCAGACCCGAAACCGGGUGACCUAUCCAUGGGCAGGUUGAAGUUACCGUAAAAGGUAAUGGAGGACCGAACUCACAUCUGUUGAAAAAGGUGGAGAUGACCUGUGGAUAGCGGAGAAAUUCCAAUCGAACUCGGAGAUAGCUGGUUCUCCUCGAAAUAGCUUUAGGGCUAGCCUUGAGGUAAAGUCUAAUGGAGGUAAAGCACUGAUUGGACGCGGGUCCCCAAAAGGAUACCAACUUCUAUCAAACUCAGAAUGCCAUAUAGAUAUACUCAGGAGUCAGACUAUGUGAGAUAAGUUUCAUAGUCAAAAGGGAAAGAGCCCAGACCGACAGCUAAGGUCCCAAAGUGUGUGUUAAGUGGAAAAGGAUGUUAGGUUUCUAAGACAACUAGGAUGUUGGCUCAGAAGCAGCCACUCAUUUAAAGAGUGCGUAACAGCUCACUAGUCGAGAGGUCUAGCGCCGAAAAUGUCCGGGGCUAAAACACACCACCGAAGCUACGGAAUUACCUAUGGUAAUUGGUAGAGGAGCAUUCUGUAAGGACGAAGCACAAUUGAAAGAGAGUGUGGACGAAACAGAAGAGAGAAUGCCGGAAUGAGUAGCGAGAUAUAUGUGAGAAUCAUAUAGGUCGAAUGUCUAAGGUUUCCUGGGUAAAGCUGAUCUGCUCAGGGUAAGUCGGGACCUAAGGUGAGGGCGAGAGCCGUAAUCGAUGGACAACAGGUAGAAAUUCCUGUACUACGUAUAAUCAGAACUGUGGGGACGCAGGAGGAUAGGAAAACCGGAGAAUGGAAAAAUCCGGCUAAGUACAAAGGUGUGAGUGAUAGGCAAAUCCGUCACUAUAAGCUGAAGUACGAAUGGGAGCGAAGAAAAGUAGCGAAGUUUCUGAAUCCACACUGUCAAGAAAAGCCGCUAUUGCGUUAUACGUACCCGUACCGCAAACCGACACAGGUAGACGAGGAGAAAAUCCACAGACCGACGGGAGAAGUGUUGUUAAGGAACUCGGCAAAAUGACCCCGUAACUUAGGGAUAAGGGGAGCCAACGCAAGUUGGUCACAGAAAAGAGGCUCAAGCGACUGUUUAGCAAAAACAUAGGUCUAUGCGAAACCGUAAGGUGAUGUAUAUGGGCUGACACCUGCCCGGUGCUGGAAGGUCAAAAGGAGAGGUUAGCGUAAGCGAAGCUUUGAAUUCAAGCCCCAGUAAACGGCGGCCGUAACUAUAACGGUCCUAAGGUAGCGAAAUUCCU
This 1928-nucleotide ribosomal RNA is filed under the name metagenome. RNAcentral describes it as "bacterial LSU rRNA". It matches the Rfam family "Bacterial large subunit ribosomal RNA", at positions 12 to 1969 of the family's 2925-position model. The record is from RNAcentral.